RNAcentral lists this long non-coding RNA (5392 nucleotides) under Sus scrofa (pig). RNAcentral describes it as "lncRNA (ENSSSCG00000057169.1)". The record is from RNAcentral. Lineage: Eukaryota; Metazoa; Chordata; Mammalia; Artiodactyla; Suidae.
ACAUGGUAUGGUGCUCAUCAAUUACACUUCUCUUUGUCUCUCUCUAAGGUGGUUUUGAAUUCAGGCAAAGUAGGAUACUAGUUAUUAGACUUUUAAAUUUUAGUAUCAACCUACUUUAUGGAGCUGUGGUAAGCUUUAAAUAAAAUACAUAUAAAACUCUGCAUAGUACCUGGAAAACAGUAAAUACACCCUCUACCGUAACUGCUGCUGUACUAAAAGAUUCAAAACUAAGGAAAAAGGGCCAAUUUUAAAGCAUUUAUCCAUUCACUAUGAAACAUCUAAUAUGAAUUUGAAUGAAAUAUUCUAUAAUACCUCUAUAAAAACAAGAUCUCCAUUCACUGAAGAAAAAAUAACUUGUUAAUGUUACUAGUUAUAAUAUGAAUCAUACAAAUUUACAGUCCGAACAAUCAUUCAUUAAGCAGGGAACAUUCCUUAUAGCCAAUAAAAUUCUAAUACAUACAGAUAAUUAAACACAACAUGCAUAAGCAAAGUCAGACAUUAUUCUAAAAAAAAUUAAAACAUCUUAGAAUCGGCUUGACAUCUAAAAGUUUUAAGAAGAAACAUCCUUCAGUUAAUUUAUUAAGGUUAACUCCAUUAGCAAUAUGUUCAGAAGCACACUCAAAAAACCAAAGGAUACAUUUCAUCUGGUAAUAAAACAUAAAAGAAAACUGAUGCUUCAAAAUGAGCCCAGCAGCUCUAACAGCAGCAAGAAAAACCUGACAUCUAUGGUCCUUCAGGAGUUUUAUGAAACCCCUGGAAUUAUUUGUAAAAUGUCGUGCAUAUAUGCAUGUAAAUGUGGUACAAAUCCUCUCAUUACAUUCUCAAAGGUCACCACUCAAAAAAAUAACAACAGUGAUGCUUCUAGUCACCAUUUAUUCAAUUUCCUUAGUAAAAUCUUGCAGGAUUUAUUUUCAACUUUAAUUUUAGUAAAUAACUUUUAAAGAAUCAAAAUACAAUCUACAAAAUCUCUAAAAGAGCAUCUUUUUAAAAUUGGCUACUUACCUUUCACAUGUUCUGAUAUAAUUUUUUCAUUAACAUGCAAUGCUUUUUCUGCUCUUAAGUCCAUUGUGUUUUCCUGUAUUCCUACAGGUGGUAGUUUUUCAAAAAUGUUUUCAAAUGUAAUUGGUGUUACUCUUCAAACCAUUAGAUGCUUCCCAAAAUGAAGCUGUUGUACAUGUAUCAAAUGUAAUGGUACUUUGGGGAUUAUGUGUUUCACUACCAACCUUCUUCCUCAGUGUUAAAUUUCUACAAUGUAAUCUUUUACUAAUAUGGUUUUUUCUUAAGAGGUUCUCAUAGACAUCUUUUCUCUUUAGUUUUCUGCUUUUUUAAUUUUUGCUUCUCCAUGUAUGUGCAUUUGUAUUUUCUCCUUUGUAAUAAUUUUGAUCUAACAACCAACAAACAGGCUUAUUCAUUAAUUUAUAUUGAAUUUUAGUAGAUCCAGUAGUACUCAAGGCAUGGAGAUGAUCUGAAUCUUUAGAAUAAAUUGCCAGACCAGAUGCAACCAAUUUAUCAGCCAAAUUGCUUUUCUCAUGAAUGAUAUCUACCUUCAGUUUUGUUUCAAAAUUAUAUUCCCUUGGCUGAAAAACCAAGCCUGGUUUAUUCAGGAAAUAUUGAAAAACACUUUUGGCUUCUUCAUUCCAAUGUUUCCCUUCAACAGGUAAGAUACCAAAUCAACUGCAAGGAUAACUCAGUCUUGGCAAAUUCAAAAGUUCCUCAGGAACAACUAAGAUUUUUUUGUAUCUGAAUUAAAGUAUGUGAACAUAAAAUCCAUAGUCAAUCAAUAUAAGAAGUAAUAACUGAUCAGAAAUUUCAAAAAUUUCUACUCUAUUCCAUUGAUCUUCCAAUCCAUAUUUGGACAAACAACCAGAACCAGGAAUUACAUGCUCUUGAGGUACUGUUUGUAAGUUUUCUGGUAAAUCAGAAAGCAACAUAAAGAGAGACUUCACUGCAUCAAAGAAAUCUUCAACUCAACACAGAAGUCUGAUGGAUCAGAAACAAUACCAGAGUACUGCAUACCAUUUUGGAGUUGUGCCCGAGUAAAUGAUCUUGUUGUACAUGAUGACACAGGAGUCUUAGAUUCAAUGCUGAAAAUGAUUCCUGAAGAUUUGUUUUUGGUUUCUUCAACAUGAACUGUAUUCAGAUUCAAAUAUUCCAAAAGUAAACAGCCAUCUAUAAAAAUUUCUACUUUCCAGGCAGAGUCUAAACAUUUCAAGAAAAGGAUGUUUAUUUCCAAAUGAGCAAAUACAGAAACACACAAUGGACUCCAAUGGCAUGUUACUAAAAUUUUCAAACCAAAUCCAUUUACAAGGCACGGCUUGUCUUGGAAUAUUUAUUUCAUUACUAAGCACCCUGGUAUUACAUAAAGGCACUAUUUCAUGCCAACCAUGAUCUACUAAAAAAACCAAGCACCUUCUCAUCAACACACACUUUUUUUCUACUUUUGAGCCAUACCACUUCAAAGUUUUUUUAGAUUUUUCCAAGCAUUCUAACUAAGCCUUUUUCAGGAUCUUUCACUGAUAAAAUAGAGGGUUUUUUGGCUUCUUUAGUAAUUAAUACUGCUGAAUCAGAUAAAAUCUUUUUCUUUUUAGAUAAAUUCACAUAGAAUGUCCCACUUUUUGAAACAAAGUAUUUCAGCCUUUUCAAGUUGUCCUGGUUUUAACUUUUCCAAAGGAAUAUUAACCACCUGUUGGUAAGAUGGCUGAAGGAUCACAGAACCUUCAUAGUCAUUUGAUUGUCCUUCCUUCAUUUCAUUAACAGGGAACAUCUUUUCAGCCACAACCUGAGACAUUUGCAAGACUGUUUUCUGUAGCUUUGAACAUACUGUCCUUUUCAGUAAUUCAUUAAUGACACAUUUUUCAUCACAAAUUAGUUUUACUUCCCAUUUCUGCUCAUGUUUUUUCAAAAACUCACAAGAAACUAUUUUGUUUCUUACUCUUGAAGCAAAAUAAUCAACAGUUUUGCUAUCCCAUAUUUUAUCAGGCUCAUUCCACUUUACUCCACUAAAGAAAGAAUGGACUCCUAGCUGAGGAAUAGUUGGGAAUUCCUCCUUAAUUUCAUAAAUUUUAGAUGCAGUUACUAUUUCAGUGUUACCAUAGUCAAUAAAUUCCACUUCAAAAGAAUUUCCCGGCAAAAUCUUCUUAAUAACAGCUCUGUAAGUGACUUUAUCACCAGAGUAUUCUGCUACUACAAGAUCUCCCACCAUAGGUUUAUCUGAUUUUUUUCCUCUUUGAAUAUAUUGUUUCUUCUUUCAAGUAGAGCAUCUGCAAGUCUGGUGAUUACAUUUUCAUUCUCAGCAAGCUGAAUAUGGAAAUUUGCUGGAUUACUGAUAUUAGAAACGUAUCCUUUAACUCUGGUAUUCAAGUAAACUUUGAGUUGAGGAAGAUCUUUGAUCUGUGGUCUAGCAAUACUAUAUGGAUUUUGUGAGGCUGCCUGAUUUAAGUCUCUGAUAAAAGACUGUGAUACAACCCUGACUGAGUUCUGGCCCGUAUCACUUUGAUCAAGAGUAUGUGCAGAACCAGGGACAAUUUUUACACCUUUCCAUUUUCCAUCACUCAAAGACUUCUUCACUUUGUUUUUUGACACAGGUUCAACUUUGUAGCAAAUUAAUUGUUUAAAAAGCCUGGCAUAUAAACUUUCGGAAUUUAUUAUCUAUUCGGCUUUCAGAAUAUGUUACUAGUUUUAUUUAUCAUAUUUUGGUGAAAGCCAUUUUCUAUUUUGCCUUUCAAGGAAACAGCAAGUCUCUUAUUCUCAUUUGUUUUAUGACCUUUUUCCACACAAUGUGCUUGGUCACAAUGUUUUUUUUUCCCAUAAGCAUGGAGCAACAUUUUAAUUUUCUGAUUUAUAUGUUGAUAGCCAUCAUAUAAUUCUAUACCAAGUUGGCCAUCUGGCUCCCUUGACAGUACUAUUGCCUUUAAUGGUUUUCCCAAGCCAUUACCUUCAAACAAACUAUUGCUUUCUGCUGGAAUAUCUACAUCCCCAAGACGUGACAAAAAACAUUUAACAGCUAGCAUAGGUGUAAACAGCAAUUCUGGAAACUCAUCUGAAACGGCCCUUAACAUACGUUCUUCUACUAACUGCGUAUUUCCAAAGUCCACAAAAGAUACCAGAAAGUCAGAUAAUGAAUCUGUUGGCAAUGCUAAAGCUCUGUAAGAGAGGCCAUCCUCUACAUUCUUAGAUAUGCACAAUCGCAUUUUACUAAAAUCGUAUUUGGGGCAAUCACUGAGGUUACUCAUCUCUGAUUUUUGUUUCAAUUAUCUCAAGGGCUUUAUUAUUUCCACUAAGUUGGCAAUACAACUUUGUAUGACUAUACAUGUGAGAUAUAUUUUUUCCUCACUUCCAAUUUUUAUAUUGAAGGAGGAACAACAGUAACUGUAAAGACUAACUGAAGAUGGGAAUGGCUUUGAUCAUGUACUGUGCAGAACCAUGAUUAGUAAGAAAUUCUUGGAGUUCCCGUCGUGGCACAGUGGUUAACGAAUCCGACUAGGAACCAUGAGGUUGCGGGUUCGGUCCCUGCCCUUGCUCAGUGGGUUAACGAUCCGGCAUUGCCGUGAGCUGUGGUGUAGGUUGCAGACGCGGCUCGGAUCCCGCGUUGCUGUGGCUCUGGCGUAGGCCGGUGGCUACAGCUCCGAUUCGACCCCUAGCCUGGGAACCUCCAUAUGCCACAGGAAGCGGCCCUAGAAAAGGCAAAAAGAAGUUCUUUUGCACUGGUAAAUGGAGAGUGUAAAUCCACUAAACUGCAUAAGCAGUUUGGAUGUACAAGAACUAAGGCAUAGACGGCACAAGUCAAUAACCUUCUAGAUGAAGAGGUACAAUUCCCAAAGUCUCUGCAUGCUUCUCCUGUACCAACUUAGUAAUUUACAACUAACGGGUUCAAUGAAAUAGUUAAGACUACAUCUGAGAGCCUGGCCUUGUAAAAAAAGGAAACAUGGGUUAAUAGCACAAAGUUCUUUAAUUAAAACUCUUUCCUGGUAACCAUAAUCAACAAAUACUACGUCAAAUUGUUUUUUUGAUACUUGAGUCAAAACGGCAACUCUAUACCACUUCCCAUCUUUAGAAUACUUAGCAACACAAGCAACCUGCCCAAUUUGGUAAGGAUCAGAAUGAAUAUUGUAAUAAUUCUGAAGUUUUCCCGUCGUGGCGCAGUGGUUAACAAAUCCGACUAGGAACCAUGAGGUUGCGGGUUCGAUCCCUGCCCUUGCUCAGUGGGUUAACGAUCUGGCGUUGCCGUGAGCUGAGGUGUAGGUCACAGACGCGGCUCAGAUUCUGCGUUGCUGUGGCGCAGGCAUAGGCUGGUGGCUACAGCUCCGAUUAGACCCCUAGCCUGGGAACCUCCAUAUGCCGCGGGAGCGGCCCAAGAAAUAGCAAAAAGACAAAAAAAAAAAAAAAAAAAAAA